UACGGAGGGGGUUAGCGUUGUUCGGAAUUACUGGGCGUAAAGCGCACGUAGGCGGCUUUGUAAGUUAGAGGUGAAAGCCCAGGGCUUAACCCUGGAAUUGCCUUUAAAACUGCAUCGCUAGAAUUGUGGAGAGGUAAGUGGAAUUCCGAGUGUAGAGGUGAAAUUCGUAGAUAUUCGGAAGAACACCAGUGGCGAAGGCGACUUACUGGACACAUAUUGACGCUGAGGUGCGAAAGCGUGGGGAGCAAACAGG
RNAcentral lists this ribosomal RNA (253 nucleotides) under uncultured bacterium. RNAcentral describes it as "partial 16S ribosomal RNA". It matches the Rfam family "Bacterial small subunit ribosomal RNA", at positions 524 to 776 of the family's 1533-position model. The record is from RNAcentral.